This 430-nucleotide unclassified non-coding RNA is filed under the name fungal sp. RNAcentral describes it as "partial internal transcribed spacer region". The stretch from base 1 to 46 matches the Rfam family "Eukaryotic small subunit ribosomal RNA", at positions 1786 to 1831 of the family's 1831-position model. Lineage: Eukaryota; Fungi. The record is from RNAcentral.
AAGUCGUAACAAGGUUUCCGUAGGUGAACCUGCGGAAGGAUCAUUAACACGUAUCCACGUAUCUACCUCUUGCGAACUUGUUUUGUUUUGUAGUCGUGCUCAGGUAUUUUAUCAAGGAAGUAGAUGGCCAUGUCAGGAGACAAAAUUCAUUUUUUUUUUCUUGUUCUACUUGCCUUCCACCCAAUGUUUUGAGUGCUGGUGUAUUGAGAUCCUGUGAUGCCUUUUGUGGGCGUCCACAGUUUCCUACUAGCAGAACGCUCCUUGGGAUGGGUAUCUGGCGUGACUCGAAUCAUGGUGGUUAUUCACUAUUAACCCCUUUUUUUUAAAAUUUUUGUCUCAGUGUGAGUGGGUGGUGCCGCUUUGCGGUGCGCCCUCCUCAUCAAAAAAAAAUAACAAAGAUACAACUCUUAGCAACGGAUAUCUAGGUUCU